RNAcentral lists this long non-coding RNA (452 nucleotides) under Physcomitrium patens. RNAcentral's name for it is "long non-coding RNA (PPAT_LNC013658)". Lineage: Eukaryota; Viridiplantae; Streptophyta; Bryopsida; Funariales; Funariaceae. The record is from RNAcentral.
UUGAUUUCAACCUCUAACAUCUUCUCUAUUCCAACUUAGAAUCCAUCAAAAAAUAUGCCAAAAUUAUAGCUAAAAAAUUAUUUUUUUCAAUCUAAUCAUCUGUUUCUUUUUGUACACAUACGUUAUAUCCAAAAGAGUGAUAGUAGGUACAAAAUCAACACCUCAACUUUAAGCACAUAUAUCUAUUUCAUAAAAACUCGAAUUAGCUCAAAAUUUAUAACAAAAUCAUAGCCAAAAAUCUGAACCUGCUCAUUCUAGCGUCCAAAAGCUUGUAUCUUUGAAAGUAUAACCCUAAUUCCUAAUAUGGCCUCAAACAGCCUCCUUGAAGUCCAUUGGUCAUGAUUUUUGACCAAUAGGAAUGGAGAUUUUCAUCAUCCAUCUCCAUUCAUCUAUAUGAAUAUCUUAAAGUCUCUUUUUGCUACCAAAAUCCCUCUUCAAUUCUUUUCUUUACA